RNAcentral lists this ribosomal RNA (1552 nucleotides) under Salmonella enterica subsp. enterica serovar Anatum. RNAcentral describes it as "bacterial SSU rRNA". It matches the Rfam family "Bacterial small subunit ribosomal RNA". The record is from RNAcentral. Lineage: Bacteria; Pseudomonadati; Pseudomonadota; Gammaproteobacteria; Enterobacterales; Enterobacteriaceae.
AAAUUGAAGAGUUUGAUCAUGGCUCAGAUUGAACGCUGGCGGCAGGCCUAACACAUGCAAGUCGAACGGUAACAGGAAGCAGCUUGCUGCUUUGCUGACGAGUGGCGGACGGGUGAGUAAUGUCUGGGAAACUGCCUGAUGGAGGGGGAUAACUACUGGAAACGGUGGCUAAUACCGCAUAACGUCGCAAGACCAAAGAGGGGGACCUUCGGGCCUCUUGCCAUCAGAUGUGCCCAGAUGGGAUUAGCUAGUUGGUGAGGUAACGGCUCACCAAGGCGACGAUCCCUAGCUGGUCUGAGAGGAUGACCAGCCACACUGGAACUGAGACACGGUCCAGACUCCUACGGGAGGCAGCAGUGGGGAAUAUUGCACAAUGGGCGCAAGCCUGAUGCAGCCAUGCCGCGUGUAUGAAGAAGGCCUUCGGGUUGUAAAGUACUUUCAGCGGGGAGGAAGGUGUUGUGGUUAAUAACCGCAGCAAUUGACGUUACCCGCAGAAGAAGCACCGGCUAACUCCGUGCCAGCAGCCGCGGUAAUACGGAGGGUGCAAGCGUUAAUCGGAAUUACUGGGCGUAAAGCGCACGCAGGCGGUCUGUCAAGUCGGAUGUGAAAUCCCCGGGCUCAACCUGGGAACUGCAUUCGAAACUGGCAGGCUUGAGUCUUGUAGAGGGGGGUAGAAUUCCAGGUGUAGCGGUGAAAUGCGUAGAGAUCUGGAGGAAUACCGGUGGCGAAGGCGGCCCCCUGGACAAAGACUGACGCUCAGGUGCGAAAGCGUGGGGAGCAAACAGGAUUAGAUACCCUGGUAGUCCACGCCGUAAACGAUGUCUACUUGGAGGUUGUGCCCUUGAGGCGUGGCUUCCGGAGCUAACGCGUUAAGUAGACCGCCUGGGGAGUACGGCCGCAAGGUUAAAACUCAAAUGAAUUGACGGGGGCCCGCACAAGCGGUGGAGCAUGUGGUUUAAUUCGAUGCAACGCGAAGAACCUUACCUGGUCUUGACAUCCACGGAAGUUUUCAGAGAUGAGAAUGUGCCUUCGGGAACCGUGAGACAGGUGCUGCAUGGCUGUCGUCAGCUCGUGUUGUGAAAUGUUGGGUUAAGUCCCGCAACGAGCGCAACCCUUAUCCUUUGUUGCCAGCGGUCCGGCCGGGAACUCAAAGGAGACUGCCAGUGAUAAACUGGAGGAAGGUGGGGAUGACGUCAAGUCAUCAUGGCCCUUACGACCAGGGCUACACACGUGCUACAAUGGCGCAUACAAAGAGAAGCGACCUCGCGAGAGCAAGCGGACCUCAUAAAGUGCGUCGUAGUCCGGAUUGGAGUCUGCAACUCGACUCCAUGAAGUCGGAAUCGCUAGUAAUCGUGGAUCAGAAUGCCACGGUGAAUACGUUCCCGGGCCUUGUACACACCGCCCGUCACACCAUGGGAGUGGGUUGCAAAAGAAGUAGGUAGCUUAACCUUCGGGAGGGCGCUUACCACUUUGUGAUUCAUGACUGGGGUGAAGUCGUAACAAGGUAACCGUAGGGGAACCUGCGGUUGGAUCACCUCCUUACCUUAAAGAA